Molecule: small nuclear RNA, 103 nt
Organism: Rhincodon typus (whale shark)
Lineage: Eukaryota; Metazoa; Chordata; Chondrichthyes; Orectolobiformes; Rhincodontidae
Source: RefSeq, a predicted model, not a curated record
UAGCUUUAGCAGCACAUACACUAAAAUUGGAACAAUACAGCGAAGAUUAGCAUGGCCCCUGCAUUAGGAUGACACACAAAUUCCUGCAGCGUUCAUAAAACAA